AUACGUAGGGGGCAAGCGUUGUCCGGAAUUAUUGGGCGUAAAGGAUGCGUAGGUGGAUAUUUAAGUGGGAUGUGAAAUCCCCGGGCUCAACCCGGGAACUGCAUUCCAUACUGGAUAUCUAGAGUGCAGGAGAGGAAAGCGGAAUUCCUAGUGUAGCGGUGAAAUGCGUAGAUAUUAGGAAGAAUACCAGUGGCGAAGGCGCCUUUCUGGACUGUAACUGACACUGAGGCUCGAAAGCGUGGGGAGC
RNAcentral lists this ribosomal RNA (247 nucleotides) under uncultured bacterium. RNAcentral describes it as "partial 16S ribosomal RNA". It matches the Rfam family "Bacterial small subunit ribosomal RNA", at positions 523 to 769 of the family's 1533-position model. The record is from RNAcentral.